UCCUCCCUCUUUCUUCGUGCUUAACACAUGCAAGUCGAACGGAAAGGCCCUGCUUUUGUGGGGUGCUCGAGUGGCGAACGGGUGAGUAACACGAGAGUAACCUGCCCUUGACUUUGGGAUAACUUCAGGAAACUGGGGCUAAUACCGGAUAGGAGCUCCUGCUGCAUGGUGGGGGUUGGAAAGUUUCGGCGGUUGGGGAUGGACUCGCGGCUUAUCAGCUUGUUGGUGGGGUAGUGGCUUACCAAGGCUUUGACGGGUAGCCGGCCUGAGAGGGUGACCGGCCACAUUGGGACUGAGAUACGGCCCAGACUCCUACGGUAGGCAGCAGUGGGGAAUAUUGCACAAUGGGCGGAAGCCUGAUGCAGCAACGCCGCGUGCGGGAUGACGGCCUUCGGGUUGUAAACCGCUUUCGCCUGUGACGAAGCGUGAGUGACGGUAAUGGGUAAAGAAGCACCGGCUAACUACGUG
Molecule: ribosomal RNA, 468 nt
Filed under: uncultured bacterium
Lineage: Bacteria
Description: partial 16S ribosomal RNA
Rfam family: Bacterial small subunit ribosomal RNA
Source: RNAcentral